GCGGGGACCCGGCAGGGGGGCCGGCAGGGGGUUUCCGCCCGCACCCACGCCCUAAGUCGCACCCGGUGGCUACCGAGGCGGGGGUGGCGGAGCCACAGUGCGCGCGGGCCUCCGGGGCGGGGACGAGGAGGGCCCUGGGACUGGGAGGGGUCAGGCCCUGCCCUCCCCUCCCGGUGCACCCGCUGUCUCCCGCGCGGACCCGGAACUGGUGUUGCGGCGGGCCGGUCGGUCCCGGGGAGAGCGUCCGAGCGAUCCCGAGGUGUGAUCGCAGCGCCGCCACUUGCUACGUGGGGACCUGGAUCAAGUCGCUGCACCUGAGCCGAAUCUCUACAAAAAAAAAAAAAGGAGCCCUAGGCCACGCCAUUCAUUGGGCGCCCACUGUAUACCAGGCCCUGUUGGGGGCACCGAAAGAGAGUUGCACUCGGCGUGAAGAUGCCCUCAGAGCUACCUGCCGCAGGUAGCUGUGAGGACCCCGCAGGUAGAGAUUAGAAAACUGGACUCAGGAAAUGUUAGGCGUUUACGAGUGUUUUUAAAUGUGCUAACAGAGAACCAGCCCAGUUGCCCAGUGGGGUUGCCUCACUCCACAGAGUGACUCAGAAAGUUUUUUUUUUCCUUUUCCUUUUUUCUCUCUCACUCGCUCCAUUUAACAACUAUCUGUUGAGUUUGGUCUAGAAAGCAGAACUAGGAUUCUGGCCGUGCUGAUAAUACCUGCCCUCCCUGGCUUGCUCACUCUAUUUUGUGAGAAUCAAAUCAGGUCAGCUGCGACAGGAUUGUAACUGGUUAGUGUUGCACAAAUGGCGGGAAUUGUUACCACAGGUCAGGCCAUGUCCUAGGCCCCCAUCCUCAGGGAGCUCAGAGUCAAAAGCUGCCACUGGCAUAAAAAACAAUACAAGUAAGUGAUUAAGGGCUGUGUUACGGGAAUUCAAAGAGAGUGGGACUUAAGAAUUUUUUCAGUUGGUAAGCGUUUAUUGAGCACCUACUGUAUACUGAGCACUGUUCUAGGCUCUAAGGAUAGAGUAAUGAAUUUGACAGUCCCAGUCCAUGACGUGAUAGAGGUGGACCCUUGGAGGAAAGACAAUCACCUGGUAAGUAAACAUCGUGUCAGGUGGUGAUUAGAGGUGGAGAACACUCAGGGCGAGGGAAUAGGCAGGCAGAUUAGCCAAGUGGGCCAAGGGGAGGGCUAAUUUAGAAAGUAACAUUUGAUCACAGGGAGGCACAAGAACCAGAUAGGGCACAGACCCAAAGGGGACAGUCUCUGGUGUGUUCAUGGACCAAGGAGGCCCAUGGACUGGGCGGCCCAGUUUAACUAGGGGGAGAGCCCUGGAAGCUGAGGUCGGAGGGACACCAAGCAGUGACAGGAUCAGGCCUAGGCUUGAGCAGGAUCAGGAGGUUGCUGUGUUCUGGAUGGACUGUAGGGGGCUAGGGCCAGUAGAAAGCUAUUUAAGGCAUGUUUUAUUUAUUUAAAAAGCACUUAGAUGGGGUUUCCUAUGUGAUGAACACCGUUAAGCACUUUACAAAUAAUAAUUCACUUCAUCCUCAAAACAGAGGCCCGAAGAGGUAAACUGAAAGUCACACAGCAGAGAGACGAAGGUGCCUACUACCCUGGGGACACAGUGGACGCAGCAAGGGAAGACCCCUUUCUGGAUGUUUGCUGAUGGCCUGGCGGUGGGCACAGGAAGAAGAAAGGAGUCAGGAAUGAUGCUAAGAUUUUUAGCUGGAUCAACACUGGAAGGGUACUGAAGUGCCCAAGACAUCCAGGUGAGUUCACUUAAGAGGUGAAUGUAGAGGAGAAGAGGUCAAGAAGAUAAAGAGGAACCAGCAAGGAGACUGAGAAGGAGUGACCUGGGAGGGUAGCAAGACGACAAAGAGAAGCUGUGAUUGCUGUAGGUACGUAGCACAGGCAGGUCACCUGUUCCACUUCCUCUUCCCGGACGCAAACAUCGUCUGUAUUUCCCAGCCUCCUUGGAGCCAGCCGAAUGCAGAGGAAGCAAGAGAAGACUCCACGGUGGAAGAAGCCUGAAUCCCCUCCCAGGACAGUUCACAGUCCCAGUGUCUCAGGGAGAAAAUAAACCUGUAUGGUCCAACCCAAAUGUUCACCAGUCUGGUAAAAGACUCUGGGGACCAUGCCAGAAAUAUAGCUGUCUUCGUCACCGUCCACUUCUUCCUUUCUGCCUCCACCAUCCCGAUCAUAAACUGGGCUCUCUGCUGAAUACGUGCAUCUUCUUUCCCCCUGCAAUGUUGAAAGAGCAGGCGAUAAAGCCCCUAUCUCCUGGUUUCCACAUCUAUAAAAUGGGGGUGUGAUACCUACCACAUACAAUUGUUGU
Molecule: long non-coding RNA, 2324 nt
Organism: Felis catus (domestic cat)
Lineage: Eukaryota; Metazoa; Chordata; Mammalia; Carnivora; Felidae
Exons: 5
Source: RefSeq, a predicted model, not a curated record